AGAGUUUGAUCCUGGCUCAGAUUGAACGCUGGCGGCAGGCCUAACACAUGCAAGUCGAGCGGAUGAGGGGAGCUUGCUCCCUGAUUCAGCGGCGGACGGGUGAGUAAUGCCUAGGAAUCUGCCUGGUAGUGGGGGACAAUGUUCCGAAAGGAGCGCUAAUACCGCAUACGUCCUACGGGAGAAAGUGGGGGAUCUUCGGACCUCACGCUAUCAGAUGAGCCUAGGUCGGAUUAGCUAGUAGGUGGGGUAAUGGCUCACCUAGGCGACGAUCCGUAACUGGUCUGAGAGGAUGAUCAGUCACACUGGAACUGAGACACGGUCCAGACUCCUACGGGAGGCAGCAGUGGGGAAUAUUGGACAAUGGGCGAAAGCCUGAUCCAGCCAUGCCGCGUGUGUGAAGAAGGUCUUCGGAUUGUAAAGCACUUUAAGUUGGGAGGAAGGGCAGUAAGUUAAUACAUUGCU
RNAcentral lists this ribosomal RNA (462 nucleotides) under Pseudomonas sp. D-14-25-4. RNAcentral describes it as "bacterial SSU rRNA". It matches the Rfam family "Bacterial small subunit ribosomal RNA", at positions 8 to 469 of the family's 1533-position model. Lineage: Bacteria; Pseudomonadati; Pseudomonadota; Gammaproteobacteria; Pseudomonadales; Pseudomonadaceae. The record is from RNAcentral.